CAGUAUAGUGCUACCUCCCCGUGGUGCUGCCUGGGAUCACUAGUAUAUGCAUUGUAUAGGUACUGCUAGUGAUGCUAAAAGCGCUAUAAGAAAACAAGAGAGCUGAAAUGAGCUCAAGAGAUUGUGUCACAGUGACUAACAUUAUUACAACUAUUAUACUCAAGUUUGUUGAUGCUAAGAGACUACAAGGCUAUAACAAGAUUACAUGCUACCAGUCUUAGCCCCAUAGAAAGAUAAAUGUGAAGCUAAAGACAUAGAUAUUAAAAUUUCCUUUCUCUCUCUUUUACUUUUACUUAUUGGACAUCAAUUUAUUUUGCUUGUUUAAAUACAUUUUUGAUUUAAUUUA
Long non-coding RNA from Amphimedon queenslandica, 346 nucleotides. RefSeq lists it as uncharacterized. Lineage: Eukaryota; Metazoa; Porifera; Demospongiae; Haplosclerida; Niphatidae. The transcript is spliced from 3 exons. The record is from RefSeq and is a predicted model, not a curated record.